RNAcentral lists this long non-coding RNA (218 nucleotides) under Elaeis guineensis (African oil palm). RNAcentral's name for it is "long non-coding RNA (EGUI_LNC043769)". Lineage: Eukaryota; Viridiplantae; Streptophyta; Magnoliopsida; Arecales; Arecaceae. The record is from RNAcentral.
CUAAGGGGUAUUACUUCUAUCUUACUGAUGAACAAAAAGUAUUCGUCUGCAAAAAAAUAGUCUUUUUGAAAAAAGAGUUCCUUAGAGAAGAAACCAAUAUCUCUAAGAUUGAACUUGAUGAAGUUCAAUCAGUAGAAGAACUGACACAAUUUAGUAAAUCCAUAGAGUCAGAUUUGAUUAGAUCAAAUUCGAAACCUAUUAUAAAGACAUCUUUGAGG